GCACAAACAAUGAAUCAUGGAACACCACAUCUAAAACUAAUGAUGUAAUGUAGGGGAUUAACAUAAGAAUAAAAAAAAGAAGAAGAAAAGCACACUGGUAUAAGAUUGAGAUUUGGGUUUUCUAUGUUAAAAUGACAAGGUUUUCUUGGAUUGUUAGUGUACUCUUUUUUUCUUUCUUAAGAUUGUAUUUAUUUAUUUGACAGAGAGAGACACAGCGAGAGAGGGAACACAAGCAGGGGGAGCGGGAGAGGGAGAAGCAGGCUCCCGGCCAAGCAGAGAGCCCGAUGUGGGGCUCGAUCCCAAGACCCUGGGAUCAUGACCUGAGCCGAAGGCCGACAGACGCUUGACGACUGAGCCACCCAGGCGCUCCUCCGAGAUUUUAUUUUUUAAAUAAUCUCUACACUGAACGUGGGGCUCGAACUCACAACCCUGAGAUCAAGAGUCGUGCUCUCUACCGACUGAGCCAGCCAGGUGCCCCUGGACUGUCAUCUCGAAGAGACACAUGCGUAGACUCAGAUAUGGCCCUGCUACCAAAUACUGGCUGUCUCUGCAGAAGUCUGGACUCAAGGUCAACUGAUAAUGGCUGCAGCCUAUGAAGAAGCGAGGUCCUGAUUCCUUACCUGAGAAAAGGAGCCUAAGACCCCAUCCAGGUUGUACCAGCUCUCAGAGCAUGCCCACAGCCUCUUCUCCUUGUCCUCAGAUAACCUCCUGACAUCAGGGACUCAGUUUUGCCUCAUUCAGAUGUCAGGUCUCCACCCCGAAGUAAACAUGGGAAUCUAUGAGAAAUUAGAUCCCAUCCAGCAAGAGCUGAAUCCGAGUCCUCUGCUCACCCCACGACGGAAAAGAAUAUGCACAGGCCUGCAUCCCUCUUCUCCUUCUCCACCAUGUCGGAAGAAAAGGGUCUCUAUCGCCUCUAUACAUAAGCAUGAAACGGGCCCGGAGAGGACGACUUUGUUUCCUGAGUUUUGUUUUGUUUUCUUCGAAAUCACCAUAGCGAUUCUAAUUCCUUUUGCCUGUCUGCUUGUGUAUGUAAUCUGUACACCCAUCCAGUGCGGUGCUGGAACUCACGACGCCCGCCGAUCAAGAGUCGCGGUCGCGUGGGCCUCCUCCGACCGAGCCAGCCAGGUGCCCUGAAAUACGUGUACUUGAAAAACCAAUGUGAAGCCUGCACCCGUGAACUUUUUUUUUUAAAGAUUUUAUUUAUUUAUUUGAGACAGAGAGAAUGAGAGAGACAGAGAGCACAUGAGAGGGGGGAAGGGUCAGAGGGAGAAGCAGACUCCCUGCCGAGCAGGGAGCCCGAUGCGGGACUCGAUCCCGGGACUCCGGGAUCAUGACCUGAGCCGAAGGCAGUCGCUUAACCAACUGAGCCACCCAGGCGCCCUUUUUUUUCUUUUCUUUUCUUUUUUUUUUUUAAUAGAUGCACCCGUGAAGUGUUUACUGCGAAACCUUCUUUUGAUCGUCGCACUCUUGAGUGGAGGCCGUACCAGUAAAGAACGUAGUUUAGCCAACUCAGGAAGAGAUCAGCUUUAAAGGAAAACCUUCUUUUCGAGUUUGUGAUGUCUGGUCCUUUCUCUCAACUCGAUCGAUGUCCAGCCUUCAGAGCCACAUUAUUUGCUUGGUCUCUCUCUCUCUCUCUCUCUCUCUCUCUCUCUCUCUCUCUCGUCUGUGUUUCCUCGUGUACUUUCCUGAUGCUCAGGAUUUAUGGUUUAGAGAGAACAGUUUUCAGCCUGGUGUGUGUGUGUGGGGGGGGGGAUGUUGUGAAGUGGGAUCAGGGAUUCACGCGGGUAAGGAGGAGGCAAGGAGAAAGGCUUGGUUGGGAAGGAAACCAUUAAAGGUCCAUGUUGAAAUGGUGAAGUUUAUUUUAUUUAUUUAUUUAUUUAUUUAUUUAUUUAUUUAUUUAUUUAUUUAUUUAUUUAUUUACUUUUUAAAGAUUUUAUUUAUUUAUUUGACAGAGAGAGACAGCGAGAGAGAGAACACAGGCAGGGGGAGUGGGAGAGGGAGAAGCAGGCCUCCCGCGGAGCAGGGAGCCCGAUGUGGGGCUCGAUCCCAGGGCCCUGGGCUCGUCACCUGAGCCGAAGGCGGACGCUUAACGACUGAGCCACCCCCCAGGUGCCCCGAAAUGGUGAAGUUCAAUGUAGUAAGAGUUACCUUUAAUCAAAGGAAUUCUUUUUUUUUUCUUUUAUUUUAUUCUUAUGUUAAUCCCCAUACAUUACAUCAUUAGUUUUAGAUGAAGUGUUCCAUGAUUCAUUGUUUGUGCACAACACCCACUGCUCCAUGCAGAAUGGGCCCUCCUCAAUACCCACCACCAGGCUAACCCAUCCUCCCACCCCCCUCCCCUCUAGAACCCUCAGUUUGUUGUUCAGAGUCCAUCGUCUCUCAUGGUUCGUCUACCCCUCUGAUUUCCCCCCGCUUCAUUCUUCCCCUCCUGCUACCUCCUCCUCCUCCUCCUCCUCCUCCUCCUCCUCCUUCUUCUUCUUCUUCUUUUUUUUUUCUUAACAUAGAUUGCAUUAUUAUUUGUUUCAGAGGUACAGAUCUGAGAUUCAACAGUCUUGCACAAUUCACAGCGCUUACCAGAGCACACACCCUCCCCAGUGUCCAUCACCCAGUCACCCCAUCCCUCCCACCCCACCCCCCACUCCAACAACACUCAGUUUGUUUCCUGCGAUUAAGAUAAUCAAAGGAAUUCUUGCUGGAGGUUGCUUCUCCCCUCUCCUCCCUGGAUAGGGGAGUGAAGUUUUUUCGAGGUCCCUAGUGGACACAGAAAGCGUUCAAGUGCCCCUAGCACCUAUGGAUGGGGCUCUGUUGCCCUCUAGUGUCCUAUCCUCUGCUACUGCUGCUCGU
This is a long non-coding RNA of Mirounga angustirostris (Northern elephant seal), 2841 nucleotides long. RefSeq lists it as uncharacterized. The record is from RefSeq and is a predicted model, not a curated record. NCBI's taxonomy places the organism in Eukaryota, Metazoa, Chordata, Mammalia, Carnivora, Phocidae. The transcript has 4 exons.